AGAGUUUGAUCCUGGCUCAGGACGAACGCUGGCGGCGUGCUUAACACAUGCAAGUCAAGGGGGCCCGCAAGGGCAACCGGCGAACGGGUGCGUAACACGUGAGCAACCUACCGAUUUGUGGGGGAUAGCUGUCCUAACGGGCAGGUAAUACCGCAUACGCGUUCCGGGAGACAUCUCCUGGCACGGAAACUUUCGAGGCAAAUCGAGGGGCUCGCGGCCUAUCAGCUAGUUGGCGAGGUCACGGCUCACCAAGGCGACGACGGGUAGCUGGUCUGAGAGGAUGGCCAGCCACAUUGGGACUGAGAAACGGCCCAGACUCCUACGGGAGGCAGCAGUGGGGAAUCUUGCGCAAUGGACGAAAGUCUGACGCAGCGACGCCGCGUGGGGGAUGACGGGUUUCGGCUUGUAAACCCCUGUUGCCCGGGACGAACUUCUCCUUUCGAGGAGAUUGACGGUACCGGGUGAGGAAGCACCGGCUAACUCUGUGCCAGCAGCCGCGGUAAUACAGAGGGUGCGAGCGUUGUCCGGAAUCACUGGGCGUAAAGGGCGCGUAGGUGGCGCUGCAAGUCGGUGGUGAAAGCUCGCCGCUUAACGGCGAGUCGGCCAUCGAAACUGCAGGGCUCGAGCACUGUAGGGGCUAAUGGAAUUCCGGGUGUAGCGGUGGAAUGCAGAGAUCCGGAAGAACACCAGUGGCGAAGGCGGUUAGCUGGGCAGUUGCUGACACUGAUGCGCGACAGCGUGGGGAGCAAACAGGAUUAGAUACCCUAGUAGUCC
This 774-nucleotide ribosomal RNA is filed under the name uncultured bacterium. Its description in RNAcentral is "bacterial SSU rRNA". It matches the Rfam family "Bacterial small subunit ribosomal RNA", at positions 8 to 796 of the family's 1533-position model. The record is from RNAcentral.